UACGUAGGGGGCUAGCGUUGUCCGGAAUCAUUGGGCGUAAAGCGCGCGUAGGCGGUCAGGUAAGUCCGGUGUGAAAGUCAAAGGCUCAACCUUUGAAUGCCGCUGGAAACUGCCUGACUUGAGUCCGGUAGGGGCGAGUGGAAUUCCUGGUGUAGCGGUGAAAUGCGCAGAUAUCAGGAAGAACACCAAUGGCGAAGGCAGCUCUCUGGGACGGUACUGACGCUGAGACGCGAAAGCGUGGGGAGCGAACAGG
This 253-nucleotide ribosomal RNA is filed under the name uncultured bacterium. Its description in RNAcentral is "partial 16S ribosomal RNA". It matches the Rfam family "Bacterial small subunit ribosomal RNA", at positions 524 to 776 of the family's 1533-position model. The record is from RNAcentral.